This is a long non-coding RNA of Zootoca vivipara (common lizard), 707 nucleotides long. RefSeq lists it as uncharacterized. NCBI's taxonomy places the organism in Eukaryota, Metazoa, Chordata, Lepidosauria, Squamata, Lacertidae. The record is from RefSeq and is a predicted model, not a curated record.
GGGAGAGAAACGGCUUAAAGCGCAGAAGUCGAAAAAGCUGAAGGAUCACGCACCCCAAGCCUGCUUCGUGGCGCUCAGUCGGAUGCAGCUGCAGAAUACUCGUGACUGUCUUAUCUCUGUUACUGCGCAGACUAACACAUAGUGCUGGCCUCUAUCAGAAGCUUCAAUUACAGCAUUCUUUGUGGAGAAGGAUUGUUGGAGACAAAACUAAAGAAACUGAAUCCUGAAGUUGCAGGGCUUUGACAACUUCAGACCUCUCUGGGCUCGGAGAAAGAAGACAUUCUGAAGCAACUGUGUAUAGGAAUGCAGAAAAGGAAUGCCAAGACCACCUUUGUCUGCAGGUGUAUAUAACACACUGUGUCUAAGUCUUGAUCGUGUGCCUUGACGUAUAAACGAAAGAAGGAAUUUGGGCCAUUUCUUUAAAGUAUUAUCAUUAGUCUGUAGUGGAAUGUUUUGAAAGAGAAAAAAUAUUUUAGGUAAUAAUGUCAUCGUAACUGUUGCCAUAGUCGGUAGUGGCACCUGUCCUGUGGAACACCCUAUCAGCAGAUGUCAAGGCAAUAAGUAACUAUUUUACUUUUAGAAGUUAGGGAAGUUUUUAAUGUUUAAUGCGGUACUGUUUUAAUAUUCGGUUGGAAGCCGCCCAGAGUGGCUGGGGAAACCCAGCCAGAUGGGCGGGGUAUACAUAAUAAAUUGUUGUUGUUGUUGUU